RNAcentral lists this ribosomal RNA (256 nucleotides) under uncultured bacterium. RNAcentral describes it as "partial 16S ribosomal RNA". It matches the Rfam family "Bacterial small subunit ribosomal RNA", at positions 524 to 776 of the family's 1533-position model. The record is from RNAcentral.
UACGGAGGGUGCGAGCGUUGUCCGGAAUCAUUGGGCGUAAAGGGCGCGUAGGUGGCCCGGUCAGUCUUUGGUGAAAGCGCGGGGCUCAACCCUGCGUCGGCCAGGGAUACUGCCGCGGCUCGAGCACUGUAGAGGCAGGCGGAAUUCCGGGUGUAGCGGCGGAAUGCGUAGAGAUCCGGAAGAACACCGGUGGCGAAGGCGGCCUGCUGGGCAGUUUGGCUGACACUGAGGCGCGACAGCGUGGGGAGCAAACAGG